RNAcentral lists this ribosomal RNA (451 nucleotides) under Candidatus Magasanikiibacteriota bacterium. Its description in RNAcentral is "Candidatus Magasanikbacteria bacterium partial 23S ribosomal RNA". It matches the Rfam family "Bacterial large subunit ribosomal RNA", at positions 2453 to 2913 of the family's 2925-position model. The record is from RNAcentral. Lineage: Bacteria; Candidatus Magasanikiibacteriota.
CGGAUAAAAGUUACUCCGGGGAUAACAGGCUUAUUGCGCCCAAGCGUCCACAGCGACGGCGCAGUUUGGCACCUCGAUGUCGGCUCACCGCAUCCUGGGGGUGAAGAAGCUCCCAAGGGUUUGGCUGUUCGCCAAUUAAAGCGGUACGCGAGCUGGGUUCAGAACGUCGUGAGACAGUUCGGUCUCCUAUCUGCUGUGGGCGACGAAUAUUGAGAAAACUCAUCCCUAGUACGAGAGGACCGGGAUGGACAAACCUCUAGUGUAUCGGUUGUUCUGCCAAGGGCAUUGCCGAGUAGCUACGUUUGGUGCGGAUAAGCGCUGAAAGCAUCUAAGUGCGAAGCCGUUUUCAAGAUUAAUAUUCAUUAUAGAUUCCUUGUAGACGACGAGGUUGAUAGGCACUAAGUGGAAGCUUGGCAACAAGUGGAGCUGAGGUGUACUAAUAUAUCGAGCA